AACCUUUCCAAUGCACGAAAGUGUGAGAGGGGAACUCCAAGUGCUCAUACUUAGUAUGGGCUUUUGUUUAGGGUAAGAACCUUUUCGAAUAAGUGGUGGGAAAGACGGGUGCCAGCCGCCGCGGUAACACCCGCGCCACAAGUGGUCAUCGCGAUUAUUGGGCCUAAAGCGUCCGUAGCCGGUUUAGUAAAUCCUUUGUGAAAUCGCCUUGCUUAACAAGACGACGUGCAGAGGACACUGCUGAACUCGAGACCGGGAGGGGUCAGAAGUAUGCUCAGGGGACUGGUAAAAUGGGAUAAUCCUGAGUAGACUACCGAUGGCGAAGGCAUCUGACCAGAACGGAUCUGACGGUGAGGGACGAAAGCUAGGGUAGCGAAUGGG
This 381-nucleotide ribosomal RNA is filed under the name uncultured archaeon. RNAcentral's name for it is "bacterial SSU rRNA". It matches the Rfam family "Archaeal small subunit ribosomal RNA", at positions 345 to 727 of the family's 1478-position model. The record is from RNAcentral.